AAAUUGAAGAGUUUGAUCAUGGCUCAGAUUGAACGCUGGCGGCAGGCCUAACACAUGCAAGUCGAACGGUAACAGGAAGCAGCUUGCUGCUUUGCUGACGAGUGGCGGACGGGUGAGUAAUGUCUGGGAAACUGCCUGAUGGAGGGGGAUAACUACUGGAAACGGUGGCUAAUACCGCAUAACGUCGCAAGACCAAAGAGGGGGACCUUCGGGCCUCUUGCCAUCAGAUGUGCCCAGAUGGGAUUAGCUUGUUGGUGAGGUAACGGCUCACCAAGGCGACGAUCCCUAGCUGGUCUGAGAGGAUGACCAGCCACACUGGAACUGAGACACGGUCCAGACUCCUA
This 344-nucleotide ribosomal RNA is filed under the name Salmonella enterica subsp. enterica serovar Infantis. RNAcentral's name for it is "bacterial SSU rRNA". It matches the Rfam family "Bacterial small subunit ribosomal RNA", at positions 1 to 341 of the family's 1533-position model. Lineage: Bacteria; Pseudomonadati; Pseudomonadota; Gammaproteobacteria; Enterobacterales; Enterobacteriaceae. The record is from RNAcentral. RNAcentral also lists the same sequence under 1 other name.